AAUAUCAAAGGUGAGCCAGUACAGGAUGGACCCGCGUCUGAUUAGCUAGUUGGUAAGGUAACGGCUUACCAAGGCGACGAUCAGUAGCCGACCUGAGAGGGUGAUCGGCCACAUUGGAACUGAGACACGGUCCAAACUCCUACGGGAGGCAGCAGUGGGGAAUAUUGCACAAUGGGCGAAAGCCUGAUGCAGCAACGCCGCGUGAGUGAUGAAGGCCUUCGGGUCGUAAAACUCUGUCCUCAAGGAAGAUAAUGACGGUACUUGAGGAGGAAGCCCCGGCUAACUACGUGCCAGCAGCCGCGGUAAUACGUAGGGGGCUAGCGUUAUCCGGAUUUACUGGGCGUAAAGGGUGCGUAGGCGGUCUUGCAAGUCAGGAGUGAAAGGCUACGGCUCAACCGUAGUAAGCUCUUGAAACUGGGAGACUUGAGUGCAGGAGAGGAGAGUGGAAUUCCUAGUGUAGCGGUGAAAUGCGUAGAUAUUAGGAGGAACACCAGUUGCGAAGGCGGCUCUCUGGACUGUAACUGACGCUGAGGCACGAAAGCGUGGGGAGCAAACAGGAUUAGAUACCCUGGUAGUCCACGCUGUAAACGAUGAGUACUAGGUGUCGGGGGUUACCCCCUUCGGUGCCGCAGCUAAC
RNAcentral lists this ribosomal RNA (637 nucleotides) under Clostridioides difficile. RNAcentral's name for it is "bacterial SSU rRNA". It matches the Rfam family "Bacterial small subunit ribosomal RNA", at positions 197 to 856 of the family's 1533-position model. The record is from RNAcentral. Lineage: Bacteria; Bacillati; Bacillota; Clostridia; Peptostreptococcales; Peptostreptococcaceae.